GACUGGUAUAUGCAGACUGACCUCCAGGGAGAGGCCCAGAUCCGAUCUGCAGAGGUCUGCCUUCUGGCUAUCGUGAAUGUGUUCAGGUGGUGGAGAAGAAGAUGGAGCCCCAGGCUGCCUGGCUACAGAGACGCACACGGACAGCCGAGAAGAAGCUGGCUGACUGCGAGAAGGUGGCUGUGAAGUUUGGGAACCAAACUGUUGCUCAGGCUGGAGGGCAAGUGGGCCAUGUUGGGGACUCUGCUGCAGAAGUAUGGACUGCUGCAGAGGCAGCUGGAGAACUUGCUGUGCAACAGAAACUUCUGGAUCCUGCGGCUGCCCCCGGGCAGCAAGGGGGAGGUCCCCAAGGCCGGGCCACCACCAAGCCAGAUCUUCUGGCGCCAGUGGAGAAAGGACACCAGGCAGGCAGCUGCAGCCUGCCCAGUGCGGAGACGGGCCAAAGCCCGGGCCCUGGUGAGUCCUGGGGUGUGGGCAGACCUGGACCUCUCUACAUGCAUCUGGUAAGGGCAUCUGGUGUCAGGAGGCCCCCCUGGCGAAACAGAGGCAGAGAUGGGGGGAAGUGAACUGCUGGGCCUCACAGCUGGCGGUCAGGGCCACACCCGGGUAUUCUGACACCCAGAGGACCUGGGCCAUUUCCCACAUUCCAUGUCCCUUUGGAGCCGUCGCUUGGCCUGAGACCGCUCUGGAGGCUUGAGGGGAAGGGCAGAGGGCAUAGCAGAUACCAGGGAACCUGAGGCACGCUGUCGUGGUGCGUGCAGGGUCCCGGGAGGAGCAACAGGCUGGCGGCCUCCGUGAGACCUGCCCUGAUGCUGCGUCUGCUCCCAGGGCCCUUGGUGCCUGCGUGCGGGUCCUCCUCGCUUUGCAGCCUAAUUCCUGCUUCCUCUCCUUGGGUGAAGGGACUGAGUCUUGCCGUAAUAUCCCCCUCCUCCGGCACCUUACACAGUGCCUGGCAUGUACUGGGAUUAUAAAUAAUAAAUAAUUAUUAAAUGAAUGGUGAACCA
This 1001-nucleotide long non-coding RNA is filed under the name Piliocolobus tephrosceles (Ugandan red Colobus). RNAcentral describes it as "lncRNA (ENSPTEG00000030317.1)". Lineage: Eukaryota; Metazoa; Chordata; Mammalia; Primates; Cercopithecidae. The record is from RNAcentral.